AGAUCUAUAUGAAUAGAAACUGAAUAAAACAAUCCAUUUGUCAAAGAUCAUACAGACAUCGUCAGCAUCCUUUUCUGAUCAAAUUUGAAAUUGAUCUUUCUCCAAACAACGAAUCUUGCAAUACCAGCAGAUUGUAAAGGCAUGAGCAAACUGAACCAAUAUGUGAUGAUUUUUUAAACUGAGCGUCUCCCACCACUGAAGCUUCAAAUCCGG
RNAcentral lists this unclassified non-coding RNA (213 nucleotides) under Hevea brasiliensis (rubber tree). The record is from RNAcentral. Lineage: Eukaryota; Viridiplantae; Streptophyta; Magnoliopsida; Malpighiales; Euphorbiaceae.